AAAGUUCUUUUGUAAACAUUAAUGCAAAACUCAACAGAGUAACCUGAAAUCAAAUGUGUGGCUAAACAAGCAUUUAUUCAUGUUUGAACUGUUUUUUUACAUUUUUGUUUGAGUUAUGAACAUGA
RNAcentral lists this long non-coding RNA (125 nucleotides) under Amphimedon queenslandica. RNAcentral's name for it is "uncharacterized LOC109584764, transcript variant X2". Lineage: Eukaryota; Metazoa; Porifera; Demospongiae; Haplosclerida; Niphatidae. The record is from RNAcentral.